Molecule: ribosomal RNA, 511 nt
Filed under: uncultured bacterium
Lineage: Bacteria
Description: bacterial SSU rRNA
Rfam family: Bacterial small subunit ribosomal RNA
Source: RNAcentral
GGCGUCAGGACGAACGCUGGCGGCGUGCCUAACACAUGCAAGUCGAGCGGGGACAUACGACGGAUCGGAAGUUUCGGAUGGAAGUGAAGAUGUAUGUUCUAGCGGCGGACGGGUGAGUAACGCGUGAGCAACCUGUCCUUCACAGGGGGAUAACACAGCGAAAGUUGUACUAAUACCGCAUAAGACCACACCGGGGCAUCCCGGAGGGGUCAAAGGAGCAAUCCGGUGAAGGGUGGGCUCGCGUCCGAUUAGAUAGUUGGUGGGGUAACGGCCUACCAAGUCGACGAUCGGUAGCCGACCUGAGAGGGUGAUCGGCCACAUUGGGACUGAGACACGGCCCAAACUCCUACGGGAGGCAGCAGUGGGGAAUAUUGGGCAAUGGGGGGAAACCCUGACCCAGCAACGCCGCGUGAGGGAAGAAGGUUUUCGGAUCGUAAACCUCUGUCCCAGGUGAAGAGUAAGAGACGGUAGCCUGGGAGGAAGCCCCGGCUAACUACGUGCCAGCCGCGGC